Long non-coding RNA from Lytechinus pictus (painted urchin), 1056 nucleotides. RefSeq lists it as uncharacterized. The transcript is spliced from 3 exons. The record is from RefSeq and is a predicted model, not a curated record. NCBI's taxonomy places the organism in Eukaryota, Metazoa, Echinodermata, Echinoidea, Temnopleuroida, Toxopneustidae.
AGGGUAUUUUGGGUUGAUACUGAACCAUCUUCCAACCGCAUCGAAUCCUGUAGCAUUGAAGGGGCAAAUCGAAGGACAUUGAUGCACACUGCAAAUGAUAUAGGACUCUUUGAUUUGACCAUCUCAGGGAACUUCAUUUACACUACAGCAAAGGUCAUCAAGAAAAUGAUAGUACUUAUGAAAGCUAGUGGUGAAGAACUCCUGAAUCUUAAUCUAGAUUAUGAUCCAUACAGUGUUGUAACAUACGCUCCGGAUGAACAGCCUCAAGAAUAUUCGCCAUGUAGUAGCAACCCGUGUAGCUUCCUAUGUGUUGGAGCAGGACCUAAUGAUUACACCUGUCUCUGUGGAAAUGGUUUCCUAUUAAAUGAGGAUGGUCGUACUUGUAUUAAGGGUGAGUUAUUUGAACCAAACUAUGCCCCAUUAGACGAAAUCUGUUUAUUACGAUACAUUUUUGCAUCAUGCGCAUAAUGCAUUUAAUCGACUGAAUAUUUUUUUAUCAAUUAUGAUGCCUACAAAAAUGGGAAAACGUUAAUUUACAAGUCAGUGAAAAUGGAAGCAUGUGUCGGCGAAAUGUAUAUAAGUGUGAUCAAUCUUGGUGAUGUACGUGCUGUACAUGUCUCCUUUAUAACUAUAUUUGAGAUCAAGAGGAUGGAGAGGGCCGUAUUUACGUAGCAAGAUUAGAUUCAGAUAUUUUUAUUGUCCAAUUGCAAUCGGGUACAAAUGGAAAUUCAAUUUGUUCGCACAAAAUGAUUUAGAAUAUCACGUGAUACACACAAAAUAUUACAAGAUACAUAUAGUAAACAGACAAAUCAAAAAGCAAAAAUAAGAGAAAUUAAGAUAAAGGCAGGAAGGGGGGAGGUAUAUAUAAUUUCAAGUAUGGCUAUUAAAUGCACGGAUUGAAACUGGAACGAAAGAGUUUACGAAGCGUGGGUUUCUGCAGGGAAGGGAUCUCAGACGUUCGCCUGACCUCAUCAAAUUGUGAUAUUAUUGAGGGCAUUGUUCUCAUUGGUCAUGAUCUCUUUGGCUUUUUCAAGGACUCUAUCUUCAUUCUCGUCU